CAGAGAGUCCACCCACAUCUAAGCCGCUUCACAGUGGCAUCUGUAAUAAGAACAUUCCGACUAGAAAACAGAAUGACUCGAAGACCUUCUGGGGGAGGACGCCAACGCCUGUUCACACAACAGCAGGAACUUGCCGUUGUGGACCUAGUGAGGGCAGACAAUGCCAUCCGUCUCCACCAGCUACGAAA
Molecule: long non-coding RNA, 188 nt
Organism: Polypterus senegalus (gray bichir)
Lineage: Eukaryota; Metazoa; Chordata; Cladistia; Polypteriformes; Polypteridae
Exons: 2
Source: RefSeq, a predicted model, not a curated record